RNAcentral lists this small RNA (67 nucleotides) under Sporosarcina sp. HYO08. RNAcentral describes it as "Bacillaceae-1 RNA". It matches the Rfam family "Bacillaceae-1 RNA". The record is from Rfam by way of RNAcentral. Lineage: Bacteria; Bacillati; Bacillota; Bacilli; Caryophanales; Caryophanaceae.
AGCAAAGGUACGUAGUCUAAGAUCGCGACAUCCUGUCGCAACGACUGCAUGAUUAGCAUCCUGCUGA